AUGAUGAGUGUGAGCUGCCGGAGGGUGAGGCCGGCAUCGUCUGGGACGCCAUCUGUUUUACUGUUCUGUUGGCUCAGAGGAGGGUCUUCCUCAGCUACUACUUCCUCUACGUGGUGUCUGACCUCAAGUCAUCCAAGUUAUUGGCCUCCAGAGGUGCUGAGCUUUUUGAGGCAAGGGUGAAGAAGCAGGUCGCAGCCCGACUGGAGAUGGAGAAGAAAUCUGUGCAGACGCUGAAAAAACAGUAAGACACAAGAAAUGCCACACUAAUGAAAUCUGUCUAUGGAUCUGUAUCAUAGUAAUCACGUGUACAAAAUAUUUUCCAGUCGGGUGUACAAAAUAUCCAACAAGCGUUCAACUUUCUACCACAUUUCUUUAUAAAGUCAUGAAUUACUUCUUUUUGUAGAAUGGAGAAGAUUAAAUCUAAACAGAAGGGUCGCCCUGCACCAGCAGACAAACCGGACCCUGCUGCUGACCAGGAGCAGGUGACCCUGGGUAAUACAGGGGAGUUCCUCCUUUCUAUUAGGAAUAAACAAGCCUGAGCCUCUCAUUCUGUUUGUAUUAUUUUGUUAUUUUUAUUUUUAUAUAUGCUGCAUUAAAGAAAACAUUGCCCAAACUACAGGUUCAACAGAUUGAAUUUUUUUUUGUAGAUGACGAUGAAAAGGCAAAGAGAGAUGCAGGAAAAUGGUGGAAGCCUUGGGUCUCGAAGCCUGGAGGUGAAUGUGUAAAUGAUGGAUGUUGGUUCCACAGUUUCUACAGUCCCAUAAUUUGGCCGCUGUUCUUUUUAAUUUAGUGGAAAACAACUGUGGCUAUCACCUGUUUGAGAGCGACAGCGAUGAGGAUGAGGAGGAAGCGGUAGAGAAGAAGGAGGAGGAGGAACCACCGAAGAAGAAAUCUGCCUUCCAGUUGGCCUAUAACGCCUGGGUGACCAGCUCCAAGUCUGCUCUGAAGGACGUGAAGAAGGAGAAGAAGAAAAGAAAGAAAGAAGAGAAGAAGAUGGCAAAGAGGGAGCUGCAGAGCCAGCAAAGUCAGUUCAUUAUAUCAUGAGACUGUUAAGUCUGGCCAGUAGUUGUGGAGAUGAUUCAUAUAUACUGUAAAGCAGCUCCUGAGAGUAUUUAA
Molecule: long non-coding RNA, 1116 nt
Filed under: Betta splendens (Siamese fighting fish)
Lineage: Eukaryota; Metazoa; Chordata; Actinopteri; Anabantiformes; Osphronemidae
Description: lncRNA (ENSBSLG00000003332.1)
Source: RNAcentral